Long non-coding RNA from Passer domesticus (house sparrow), 1807 nucleotides. RefSeq lists it as uncharacterized. NCBI's taxonomy places the organism in Eukaryota, Metazoa, Chordata, Aves, Passeriformes, Passeridae. The record is from RefSeq and is a predicted model, not a curated record. The transcript is spliced from 2 exons.
CUCUGCCGGCGGCCAUCCCGCCUGUGCCCGGCUUUCGGGAAGCUGCCCGCGCUCUCCCGCCGCCAGGCUGUCUUGUGUGUUUCAAACACGUCGCAUUUCCAUGAGCCCCGGGAGAAGAAGUCUCGAUGGAGAGCUCUGGGCCCGCCAGGGAAAUCCUUUUUUGGGCAACCGUCUUCCUUGUCUCAGCUGAAAUGACCCCGAGCUGGGAUAGCACCUCCUGCAGCCCUCUAUGGCCAAACCUCCUUGAUUAUUUUCCUCGGUAUUUCGAUGAAAUAUGUAUACUAGUGUCUUUACAAAUAAUUUGUUGGGUUGAAAGUAUGGUUGUUAGUGUCUUUGAAAAGGGUCCUAACGUCUCUGCUGUGAUCUUCAAGCAGUGGGUUUGUUGCAGAGCCCAGACAGCUUGGUUCCUAAGAUAGACAAGGCUCUGCACAAGGCUCAGUUUCUGAACUUUGGGAUAAAACAAUAGGUUCAAUGUGGGAUAUGUGGUGGGCACUUUGGGAAGGCUGCAUCUCGGGGUUCACUGUUGUUUGUCUCUGCCCCGAUACAGGAAAAGGUGGUUCCGGGUGGUCGCACAGUGAAGGACAAGUCUGGACUCUCAGGUUUUCUGUCUUCAAUCUUGUUUAUUAAUUCUUAUCUACAAUAUUUUCUCUCUGCCCAGCCGAGGUCCGCUCAGCAGGACAGCCAAGUGCACUCUCCCCCGCCCACGGGACAGUUGUGUCUUUUAUAGUAAAAAUUACAUCUAUCAUAUUUACCUUUAAUUCCUAAUACUUUUCACCCUUCUUGAGAAGUGUACCUUCACCAUGAACCAAUCCAAAAGUGCCAACAUCAGCACAGAAAUUGGAAGACAUUAAGAAGAAAGAAGAACCCAGGACCACGCCCUGAAUCCUCCAUCUUGUCUUCAUGAACCCCCUGUACCUAAAUUCUAAAAUUUUUACUUCACCUUGCAAACACACUAUUCACACUCUAAAACUUUCCAUUUCCUCAUACACAGAUGUUUCAUCUCUAGAUGGAUCAAAGUCAAGCCACCAAACACUUUUGGCAACAUUCCAGGAUCUCCGAGCCCCCCCCAAGGGUUCUCUCGGCGACUCUGGACAUUCAGAGUGAUGUGUUGAGUUCCCACAGCUGCACCUUCCCAUUACCUUAGACAGUGGGGACAGGAAGAGGGCAUCGUGUGGCCGGGCGUUUGGCACAAAAGGGUGGCUGAGUCCUCUGAUACCCCCAGAGAGAAAACCCCGCAGGCGUGCGCCCCGGUGGACUCUCUCUCUUUAUUCGAAUAAAGUUGAAGGACUCCUCUGUCUUCUUUUUGGGUGUAAACCUCUGUCAUUUGUGGAUUUUCGUGACAUUUUUCAGGUUGUCUGUAAAACUGCAACAGAGAUGGAGGAAAAACAAGUACAGGGAGGGAGAGGGUGCAGAGCAGUUUCCAGGGUUUACCUGAGCUCAGCGAAGCUGAAUUGCUGUUGGUUCAAAACAUCAUCGAUGUCCUUACUCAAAAAGAAGAAUUGCAGAAACAAAUGCAGAAAGAGAACACAGAUGUCUCCCAGGAAGAGAUACAAUGUGAAGAACUUGAGUGAGGGGAGGAGGACAGAUGCCCACACUUCUUUUCCAGCUCCUGCAACUAUAUAGGCAUUGCCAAAACUUUCCUUUGAUUCUAAUCCCUGACUGUUAUUCCCUUAUCUAUUUCCUUGGAUCCCAGUUCUUGCCUUGGAGGCUAUUUCCUUCCUGAUAUUUCUUUGACUCUCAUUGAAUGUUACUUCCUUCACAGUUCUUUCCCUGGAGGUUAUUUCCUAAUAAAUUCUGGUUUUGUUCA